CUGGAUCAGCACUCCAAGAGACGGUGAAAGUUGGUGCUAAGUCAGGAUCAGCCACGGAGAAGGUAAAAUUGUCCAGCCAAAGAAAAUGGCUUCACGUGGAGUAUCUAUGAUGAUUCUGUUCUUUAUCUCCAUCUCUGUUAUCAAUAUUUCUCGGUCUCAGAACCCACAAGUGUUUCAAAGGAAACACAUGACAUUUCUGGAUAACAUAGACCACAACAGAUGCAACAGUGAGAUGAAAAAUAGAAGGAUUGCUUUGACUAGGAGUGGAUGCAAACGGCUCAACACAUUCAUCCAUGCCCCCGAGAAGCUUAUUGAUCAAACCUGUGUGUCAGGGAAACCAUAUGUGAUCCAAAAUCUAGAAUAUAAGAAGAGUAGCAUGAAAUUUCGUGUGACAAGUUGCAGACUUUCUCAGGAAUAUGGAAAAGAUUGCAAGUACAAGGCAGAAGAGAGCAGAUGGAAAUACAUUGUGGUUUCGUGCAACCAAAAUGACCGUCCAGUCCAUCUGGCAGGGAUACUUACCUGGUAAAGCAAGAAGAUGAACAAAUUUGUUUCUCAAGUAGUCACUUUAUUUUAUGCAUACAGUAAUGCAAUUUUUCAGUGGAUUCUAGGGAGAAAAGCUUAUUCUGUUGUGCCAAUCUUUUU
Molecule: long non-coding RNA, 642 nt
Organism: Pseudonaja textilis
Lineage: Eukaryota; Metazoa; Chordata; Lepidosauria; Squamata; Elapidae
Source: RefSeq, a predicted model, not a curated record